CCUACGGGAGGCAGCAGUAGGGAAUAUUGGUCAAUGGGCGAGAGCCUGAACCAGCCAUGCCGCGUGCAGGAAGAAGGCCCUCUGGGUUGUAAACUGCUUUUGACAGGGGCCAAAAUACUCAUGCGUGAGGAAUUGAGAGUACCUGUAGAAUAAGCACCGGCUAACUCCGUGCCAGCAGCCGCGGUAAUACGGAGGGUGCAAGCGUUGUCCGGAUUUAUUGGGUUUAAAGGGUGCGUAGGUGGCCUUAUAAGUCAGUGGUGAAAGCCUGCAGCUUAACUGUAGGACUGCCAUUGAUACUGUAGGGCUUGAGUACUGAUGAGGUAGGCGGAAUUGAUAGUGUAGCGGUGAAAUGCAUAGAUAUUAUCAAGAACACCGAUUGCGAAGGCAGCUUACUAAGGAGUUACUGACACUGAGGCACGAAAGCGUGGGGAUCAAACAGGAUUAGAUACCCUGGUAGUCCACGCCACUAACGAUAGAUACUACGUAUGUAUGNGAUAGUAGUAGUAGUGCGUCCGACGACGAAAGACGUUAAGUUAAGUACCUUACCGUUCGGGUAGGUUACGGACCGACCGAGGUUAGGUUAACGUACGAAGUUAGAAGUUAGACGGACGUUGAGACGUUGGCCGACGGACGACGACGAAGGGGAAGGUUAGGAG
This 656-nucleotide ribosomal RNA is filed under the name uncultured bacterium. RNAcentral's name for it is "bacterial SSU rRNA". The stretch from base 1 to 547 matches the Rfam family "Bacterial small subunit ribosomal RNA", at positions 338 to 873 of the family's 1533-position model. The record is from RNAcentral.